RNAcentral lists this ribosomal RNA (459 nucleotides) under uncultured bacterium. Its description in RNAcentral is "partial 16S ribosomal RNA". It matches the Rfam family "Bacterial small subunit ribosomal RNA", at positions 338 to 795 of the family's 1533-position model. The record is from RNAcentral.
CCUACGGGUGGCAGCAGGGAGGAAUAUUGGGCAAUGGGCGAGAGCCUGAACCAGCCAAGUAGCGUGAGGGAAGACGGUCCGAUGGAUUGUAAACCUCUUUUGUCGGGGAGCAAAAUACGCCACGCGUGCCGUUCUGAGAGUACCCUACGAACAAGCAUCGGCUAACGCCGUGCCAGCAGCCGCGGUAAUACGGAGGAUGCGAGCGUUAUCCGGAUUGAUUGGGUUAAAAGGGUGCGCAGGCGGAAGAUCAAGUCAGCGGUAAAAUUGCGUGGCUCAACCUCUGCGUGCCGUUGAAACUGGGAUUCUUGAGUGCGCGAGAGGUAGGCGGAAUGCGUGGUGUAGCGGUGAACUGCAUAGAUAUCACGCAGAACUCCGAUUGCGAAGGCAGCAUACCGGCGCUCAACUGACGCUCAUGCACGACAGUGUGGGUAUCGAACAGGAUUAGAUACCCUAGUAGUC